GCGAAUGUAGCUCAGUUGGUUAGAGCGCCUGACUGUGACUCAGGAGGUCGCCGGUUCGAUCCCGGUCAUUCGCCCCA
This 77-nucleotide transfer RNA is filed under the name Sneathiella glossodoripedis. RNAcentral's name for it is "tRNA-His". It matches the Rfam family "tRNA". Rfam says of the family: Transfer RNA (tRNA) molecules are approximately 80 nucleotides in length. Their secondary structure includes four short double-helical elements and three loops (D, anti-codon, and T loops). RNAcentral also lists the same sequence under 3 other names. Lineage: Bacteria; Pseudomonadati; Pseudomonadota; Alphaproteobacteria; Sneathiellales; Sneathiellaceae. The record is from RNAcentral.